This 225-nucleotide ribosomal RNA is filed under the name uncultured bacterium. RNAcentral describes it as "partial 16S ribosomal RNA". It matches the Rfam family "Bacterial small subunit ribosomal RNA", at positions 524 to 747 of the family's 1533-position model. The record is from RNAcentral.
UACGUAGGGGGGCAAGCGUUGUCCGGAAUCAUUGGGCGUAAAGAGCGUGUAGGCGGCCCGAUAAGUCCGCCGUGAAAGUCCAGGGCUCAACCCUGGAAUGCCGGUGGAAACUGUCGGGCUGGAGUCCGGAAGAGGCGAGUGGAAUUCCUGGUGUAGCGGUGAAAUGCGCAGAUAUCAGGAGGAACACCAAUGGCGAAGGCAGCUCGCUGGGACGGUACUGACGCU